UCGUUUUAAGCCCCCAACAGACAAGUUCAUCUCACGAGUCAGCUCUGAAGCCAUUGCAAUCCAUACCUUCAGAAAGUUCAAAUAAGUCAACUCUCACGUGUGAUCCAUGAAAUUAAUGCAGGAUACGAUCAUGACUGGGGCUGGGCCACUUCUCUCGGUCAUGACCGUCCUUAUUACGGUAGGAAAUUUUCCCACCAUCGGCACCGCACCAGGUGAUAUCCCUGUCAACGAAGAAGACGUCUAUCCUUUUUCGAUAUUGCCCAACAUGACUGAACUUGGCCUAGAGAUCAUCGAGGGUGAUAUUGCUGUACCCAGAAGCCUUUUGCGUAAAGGUAAUCGUCCUACUUUUCUGCCAGUAGGUCAGCGUUGGCCUGGCAACGUGGUGCCAUACAAGUACCACACAUCUGUAAAUAAUAGUCACAAAUCAGUAAUCGUAUCAGGAAUCCAGCACUGGCAGAACAAUACGUGCCUUCGCUUUGAAGAGGUCGAAAGCAUCGGGCGUCACCAUAUCCGUUUCCGAACAGAUAAAGAUGGUUGCUGGUCUCUGAUUGGUCGUACGAUGGGCAUUGCAUCAAUUCAAAGUGCAAUUCUGGGAGGGCUAGUUCAGGACCUCGUUCAGGGGGAAGUCUUUUACCAGGAUAUUAACUUACAGCGUCCCGGAUGUGUAAAGGAAGGUACUGUAAUACACGAAAUUGGCCACGCCAUAGGAUUUUAUCACGAACAGUCACGCAGCGAUCGAGAUGAGCACAUUAAAAUUCUUUUUGAGAACAUGAAUCCCGAAAUGAGCGCGCAGUUCGAAAAAGCAGACGAUCAGACUUUUGGCGUGCCGUACGAUCUUGGUUCGGUAAUGCAAUAUCCACAGUGGGCCUUCAGCAAGGACAUUUAUGAAUUGAACACCAUCGUAACGCGGGAUCCAUUCAUGCAGGGUAGCCUUGGCGGAGAUGUUUUGACCUUCCGUGAUAUGAAGCUGGCAAAUUCGAUGUACAAAUGCAAUGAAGGAUGCACAAAUAAGAAUAGUAUUCAGUGCCAAAAUGGCGGUUUUAUAUUCGCGCGUCAUGGAGAGCUUACGGAAUGCAACUGUAUUUGUCCGCCGAAUACAGCGGGUGAUUUAUGCGAAACUAUCAUACGCCCUUCCUAUUAUGAGCCCGUGAAGUGCGGCGGAAACGUGACACAACCAACGAAUAUCGAAAGUAAAGCCGUAGAUGCACCAUGCAUAUUCUGGGUUCAGGCACCCGAGGGUCAACGGGCCCGAGUCACUUUUACCGAAUUCAACUUCCCGGCCCGAAGCGAUAAGGGUAAGAUGAAGAAUAGGUGUCGAAACGGGCGUCUUGAACUGCGUACCCAGGACCACUUCAAGGGACAGAUGUUCUGUGGGGAUGAGCUUGCGGGAAAAGGAUUUACAUCAGCGGGCAGGAACCUCAUAAUCAUCACUAGCAAGCUGGCGUCAAAAUCCUCGUCGGCUUUCAAGGCAAACGUAUCGUUCGAAUAGAGUUACACUGAACAGGCAGAUCGACAGUAGGGUGACGCAACCGCUGAUUUUGUGACGUAGUCGAAGGCCGUGUGGAAACUGGGGGCAUCCGCCACCGACGCGCUACUGGUUACUACCUUGCGAACACUCAUUACGAUGUCUCUUCUCAAUUCUAUUGAGCACGACAACAUCCUGUUGUCGAUUCUCGUCUCCCACUAUUCAGUUUUCCGUCCAUUUUAAUUCCUAGACUCCCAAGCUCUCCCUGCUCGCCAGCAGCGCAGUUUGUCUAUCCCAACUUUGUAGGUAUGAGACCAGUCAGAAAGUGCACAAAGGGAACUUCGUUGUUUCUAAAACGCUGCUUUCUCUAAUUUUUCCUACUACGUGCACUAUGUAUGAUUGCCUACUGUUUGAAAAACUCCAGAAGUGAACAGAUUUGGAAGACAUCUAAGCGGCCCUUCGACGACAGCAAGGAUACGGUAAAUCAUUGGCAAUCCUCAGCUAGUGGCAACUGUUCGCCGAAAUCAGGGUAAUGAAUGAAAUAAGAAUCUACUCGUACUUAGCAGGAUCGUUAUACGUUUAUGUAUGCGCAUGUACUAUUACGAAAUUUAAACGAAAAUAGAAUAAAAUGUAGCGGCAAAAAUAGCAACAAAAGACCACCGCAAAUUUCAACAUAUGAUGGGUAGCUGCUGGUACACAGCCUCUCGCAGUGCGGAUAAUUCUAUCCACUCAUCCACCAGUAUAUAUACAUAUAUAUCUGUCUUUUGUUCUACGUUAGCUUAUAUCGGUGUUCUUCACCAUAGUGACCUUAUUAUUUGACUAUAGUUCCUUUUAGAGGAAGCUGGAGUUUUGGUGUUGGAAGCAUGCAACGCCUAUAACGUGAUGCAAAGCAGUGAAAUUAUAAGGGCUUAUUUGUCAUGUUGCUUGAAACGAACGUGUGGGCGCUGCCAAUGGAGGUUGUUGUUUUCAGGGGUAAGGCAUAUGUUUCAAGUUAAAGGGGAUCAAAUAGCGAAGAGGCACCUUCUCUUUAUCUUGAAGUAAGGAGGUCGAUGAUGAGGCGACCGUAACCACGGAUCCGUAUUUAGGAAGCCAAGUAACACAUAUUAGCUGGGCCGGAACUGUUUGGCAAGUCGAAACGUUCUGAAUAGUCAUUAAGUCACCUACCAUUGGCUGAGCAAAACAUGCCAGAUACUUAAGUUCUUAGCUCUUUACAGUUAUAAGCAGACUAUCUGCCAUCAGAAAACGAUAUGCCUAAGGGCAUAGAUAGCGUUAAGUAGCAGCUAAAAUCGCUUUUUCGCAGAUAAAAUUUGGCGGAAAUAUGGAGCAAAGAAACUGCGCUAUGUUACUAACGCUAUAAUUAGUCUAAGAACAAAAUUAAGAAAAAUGGGGAAUUACAGAGAAGAUAAUAAAUUUCAACACCUCUAACGGAAGGAUGAGUUUUUCGGAGAUCACGGAAGACUUCUUCGCGAGGCUGCCUCGAUUCAGAAAACUCCUUGUCGGCUUCGUAUAGAAUCUCUCGAAACAGAUGUUAUGGUACUAUGAUGAAAGUAUCGACUUUGAAGAACGAACGCAAUCAUUUUUGUUUCUCUUGACCUAACGUCUGCUAUACUCUAGAGACAAUUUUUGUACUUAUUGCCUGCAAACAUUUCGCCUGAAGUCUAACAAUUCGUCUAUAAACAAGACGUGCAUCACUCUGGAUCUCUCGGAAGAGAAGAGUCAGAGGAGGAAAUGGCAUCGAAGAGGAAGGGGAUGCCUUCAGAAACGCUGUCGGAUAAACUCACGUGUAACCUGGUGAUGCCGCAAUCAACAGUGCACUGUGUGCUUACUCCAGGACAAUCAGCGACCUAACCGCCACGUCUCACUAACGGUCUGGAUCGAGAAAUGCUUUCAGCCUUCCUGCUGUUAAGGAACGCAUCACUGUCCACAUUAGACCUUCAGGGUGGACUGGGUUAAGUACUAUGCCGGGACGACACAGGAUCGACUUCUACUUUAGAACUGACAAUGACGCAAGAAUUGGCAGCGAUGUCAUCCGUCUAUCAUGAAUCGAUCUCCAAGCCCCCGCCCUGUUUAUUAGAUCGAACGUGGACCGUCGUGUUCAGGAACUACUCGGUGUGUGUCAAUGGUGCACCGUUCUGCAAAAGGGACAGGACGAAAUCUACAAUGUGCGAUGUCAUGCUCGGGCACGAACGGCACGUUACGAAUAUUCAUUUCGCCCUCUCAGAGGUUCCGCUUGCCUUGCUGUUAUCCCUACGUUAUUGGGAAGAAGAAGAAGAAGACAACGAUCACACCUCCAGUUGUCAAAAACCACUCUACCAAAGCGACAGGCGGACCUAGCGGACAGAUAGCCCGUGGGCCCCACGGAUACGAGUGAUAGACGAAGGGGACGAGGGCUUGCUCCACUUUGCGGUGCAUCGCUUGGGUCGGGAACGACCAUUAGGAACUUCGAAUCGAUUCCCAAGCAUUUACAGCCUUUCCUUUUUCGAACUACCUGAAACUUUUCGCUCCCACUAGGAAGUGAACCAAUAAAAGGAUGAAUAAAGAGUUAGACUCCCAGUCCUAAAUCUGAGCUGCGUCAGGAUCAUAUGUUUGAUUGCAACUAUUCUUGACUGGCAUCGCUCAAGGCAGCAAAAUAUCAAUACGAUAUGUAAUAGAGAUGGCUACUUUGAAGCCCAAGAGAUUUGCACGGAUUUGAACCUGAAACAACCAAUAGCUUGAGAAGGAACUCUGUUCACCGCCAUCUGCUGGCUUCGGCUUAGAUCGAAAGUAAACCUCUGCUAACCACCCAACCUCUCUGUCGCCCGUUAAGUUCAUGCCUGUUACCACUGAACGUAACGUUGCUAAUGUGCGGAAACGAGGUAAAGGCUCCGCUCCUAGUUUGAAUCGAGAUCAGAAGCACUGUUUGUGGCCAGCCAGCAUCCCGCCUGGAUGUUGUUUGUAACAUCAACUGGACCAAAUAUCGCUACGCUGUCGCUCAUUCUUGUCGGCUUUCUCAUCAGAACGAACACAUAACUACUAACGCGCACAAGUCGAGACUUCCGUUGGACACAGGGAUCAGCCUGUCAAUUGGCUUUCAUCACUCCUAUAAUCGUUAAUGAUGAGUAGCAUAGUAAAGAAGAACCCGCUAGUACAAGGGUAUAAAAACUAAAUAUCCCCAUGGUUUUCUCAUGGCGUAACGACGCCGAAAGAUGCCAGCACCAAUCAAGAUUCUCCAAAGUGUACCCUUCAUAUUUAAGCUAAACCCACUACGAGAAGCUUUUUAGAUCUAGGGUAGUUUUAGGUUCGGCUCUAUUCAUAUAAA
This is a non-coding RNA of Varroa destructor (honeybee mite), 4763 nucleotides long. The record is from RefSeq and is a predicted model, not a curated record. NCBI's taxonomy places the organism in Eukaryota, Metazoa, Arthropoda, Arachnida, Mesostigmata, Varroidae.